This is a long non-coding RNA of Acanthopagrus latus (yellowfin seabream), 1016 nucleotides long. RefSeq lists it as uncharacterized. The transcript is spliced from 4 exons. NCBI's taxonomy places the organism in Eukaryota, Metazoa, Chordata, Actinopteri, Spariformes, Sparidae. The record is from RefSeq and is a predicted model, not a curated record.
CUCAACUGUGCAUGCACUUUUCUAUUUGGUGCUCGCAGACGUUAUGGGAAAGUUGUCUCUCUCCCUCUCCCUCUCCCUCUCCCCAUCCCUCCCUCCUGCUCCUUCUCUUCGUCUAUCAUGUGCUUGGGAUAUGCUCAUGCUUUGCACAGAGCAGCUGAAGCACGCCUAAUGCAGGCUACUGAGUGUAAGCGGCAAUUUUAAAGUGAUGCCUCACCCCCUCCCCCGUUCCCACCAAAUAAUACGGCUGGGAUAUGUGAGGGGAACGUGCACACGGUACACACGGACCCGGCUGAAACACCGCUGUUCUCCUGCUGCUUGGGACGCUUUCUGAUCGACCGCAGUGAUUUGACUCACCUUUAGGAAUGAUGGAGAAAGGGAGCUGUGGUGGGGAACUGCAGGCAGCAGGAAGUGGAGGGCCACAUGAGAUCUCUGGGAUUUUGCUCUCCACUGGACCCACAUGAGGUUGGACCUCGUACAUUUUGACCCAAAAACAAAUGGCGCGAUGACUGGAGUCUCCGGGCUAAAGACGUCAAGGAUAUUUAUCUGAUCUCAGAGGUGAAUUAAUCCCCGUGAUCAAGUAGAGAGGAGCCUGGAUUCCAUCAAAGACAGGUGCCUCAAGGUGUCGGAGCUUCACGUUACUCUCUACGGGACUUGGACUUGCACUGAACUCUGAAUUUCUGUCACCUGGUUUUACGAGUUAACAUGCAAAAAUAUACCCAUAUAUUUAUUUUUUUGAUGGAGGAAUAUGAUGGUAGAAAUGGACUGAAAAUACUCCCCACAUUGAAACUUGUAUUUAUUUCAUAUAAUUGAUUGAGUUUAAUAAGUAUAUUUUUUGACAGCUAAAUAAAGGUUUUUUUUCUCCUUUAAGUGAUGUUUCAGUUGAGUUAUUUUCCUCCUUGCUGUGUAGUGCUUUGGCACUCCAGGUAAAGAACAACGUGCUUGACAUAAUUGGGUCCUAUUUGGUUAUGAAAAGAGCAUGCGUGCUGAUAAAAGCUGGCAGCAUGAUCAAAGUGCUG